Molecule: non-coding RNA, 208 nt
Organism: Oryza nivara
Lineage: Eukaryota; Viridiplantae; Streptophyta; Magnoliopsida; Poales; Poaceae
Source: Rfam
AAAGACCGAAUUCUUCGGUUUCGUGUCCAACAUUUGACCGUCCGUCUUAUAUGAAAUUUUUUUAUGAUUAGUAUUUUUAUUAUUGUUAGAUGAUAAAACAUGAAUAAUACUUUAUGCAUGACUUAUCUUUUUAUUUUUUUUAUAUUUUUUUAAAAUAAGAUGAACGGUCAAACGUUAGACACGGAAGUAUCUUGCUUGUGCACCUAAC